Molecule: ribosomal RNA, 253 nt
Filed under: uncultured bacterium
Lineage: Bacteria
Description: partial 16S ribosomal RNA
Rfam family: Bacterial small subunit ribosomal RNA
Source: RNAcentral
GACGUAGGGCGCAAGCGUUGUCCGGAUUUAUUGGGCGUAAAGAGCUCGUAGGCGGCUUGUUGCGUCGUCCGUGAAAACCCGCAGCUCAACUGCGGGCUUGCGGACGAUACGGGCAGGCUAGAGUUCGGUAGGGGAGACUGGAAUUCCUGGUGUAGCGGUGAAAUGCGCAGAUAUCAGGAGGAACACCGGUGGCGAAGGCGGGUCUCUGGGCCGAUACUGACGCUGAGGAGCGAAAGCGUGGGGAGCGAACAGG